This 253-nucleotide ribosomal RNA is filed under the name uncultured bacterium. Its description in RNAcentral is "partial 16S ribosomal RNA". It matches the Rfam family "Bacterial small subunit ribosomal RNA", at positions 524 to 776 of the family's 1533-position model. The record is from RNAcentral.
UACGUAGGGUCCGAGCGUUGUCCGGAAUUAUUGGGCGUAUAGGGCUCGUAGGCGGUCUGUUGCGUCGGGAGUGAAAACUUACAGCUUAACUGUGAGCGUGCUUUCGAUACGGGCAGACUUGAGGCAUUCAGGGGAGAACGGAAUUCCUGGUGUAGCGGUGAAAUGCGCAGAUAUCAGGAGGAACACCGGUGGCGAAGGCGGUUCUCUGGGACGGUACUGACGCUGAGACGCGAAAGCGUGGGGAGCGAACAGG